GGGUUGUGAGGUUAAGCGACUAAGCGUACACGGUGGAUGCCCUGGCAGUCAGAGGCGAUGAAGGACGUGCUAAUCUGCGAUAAGCGUCGGUAAGGUGAUAUGAACCGUUAUAACCGGCGAUUUCCGAAUGGGGAAACCCAGUGUGAUUCGUCACACUAUCAUUAACUGAAUCCAUAGGUUAAUGAGGCGAACCGGGGGAACUGAAACAUCUAAGUACCCCGAGGAAAAGAAAUCAACCGAGAUUCCCCCAGUAGCGGCGAGCGAACGGGGAGGAGCCCAGAGCCUGAAUCAGUGUGUGUGUUAGUGGAAGCGUCUGGAAAGGCGCGCGAUACAGGGUGACAGCCCCGUACACAAAAAUGCACAUGCUGUGAGCUCGAUGAGUAGGGCGGGACACGUGGUAUCCUGUCUGAAUAUGGGGGGACCAUCCUCCAAGGCUAAAUACUCCUGACUGACCGAUAGUGAACCAGUACCGUGAGGGAAAGGCGAAAAGAACCCCGGCGAGGGGAGUGAAAAAGAACCUGAAACCGUGUACGUACAAGCAGUGGGAGCACAGAGCAAUCUGUGUGACUGCGUACCUUUUGUAUAAUGGGUCAGCGACUUAUAUUCUGUAGCAAGGUUAACCGAAUAGGGGAGCCGAAGGGAAACCGAGUCUUAACUGGGCGUUAAGUUGCAGGGUAUAGACCCGAAACCCGGUGAUCUAGCCAUGGGCAGGUUGAAGGUUGGGUAACACUAACUGGAGGACCGAACCGACUAAUGUUGAAAAAUUAGCGGAUGACUUGUGGCUGGGGGUGAAAGGCCAAUCAAACCGGGAGAUAGCUGGUUCUCCCCGAAAGCUAUUUAGGUAGCGCCUCGUGAAUUCAUCUCCGGGGGUAGAGCACUGUUUCGGCAAGGGGGUCAUCCCGACUUACCAACCCGAUGCAAACUGCGAAUACCGGAGAAUGUUAUCACGGGAGACACACGGCGGGUGCUAACGUCCGUCGUGAAGAGGGAAACAACCCAGACCGCCAGCUAAGGUCCCAAAGUCAUGGUUAAGUGGGAAACGAUGUGGGAAGGCCCAGACAGCCAGGAUGUUGGCUUAGAAGCAGCCAUCAUUUAAAGAAAGCGUAAUAGCUCACUGGUCGAGUCGGCCUGCGCGGAAGAUGUAACGGGGCUAAACCAUGCACCGAAGCUGCGGCAGCGACACUGUGUGUUGUUGGGUAGGGGAGCGUUCUGUAAGCCUGUGAAGGUGUGCUGUGAGGCAUGCUGGAGGUAUCAGAAGUGCGAAUGCUGACAUAAGUAACGAUAAAGCGGGUGAAAAGCCCGCUCGCCGGAAGACCAAGGGUUCCUGUCCAACGUUAAUCGGGGCAGGGUGAGUCGACCCCUAAGGCGAGGCCGAAAGGCGUAGUCGAUGGGAAACAGGUUAAUAUUCCUGUACUUGGUGUUACUGCGAAGGGGGGACGGAGAAGGCUAUGUUGGCCGGGCGAUGGUUGUCCCGGUUUAAGCGUGUAGGCUGGUUUUCCAGGCAAAUCCGGAAAAUCAAGGCUGAGGCGUGAUGACGAGGCACUACGGUGCUGAAGCAACAAAUGCCCUGCUUCCAGGAAAAGCCUCUAAGCAUCAGGUAACAUCAAAUCGUACCCCAAACCGACACAGGUGGUCAGGUAGAGAAUACCAAGGCGCUUGAGAGAACUCGGGUGAAGGAACUAGGCAAAAUGGUGCCGUAACUUCGGGAGAAGGCACGCUGAUAUGUAGGUGAAGUCCCUCGCGGAUGGAGCUGAAAUCAGUCGAAGAUACCAGCUGGCUGCAACUGUUUAUUAAAAACACAGCACUGUGCAAACACGAAAGUGGACGUAUACGGUGUGACGCCUGCCCGGUGCCGGAAGGUUAAUUGAUGGGGUCAGCGCAAGCGAAGCUCUUGAUCGAAGCCCCGGUAAACGGCGGCCGUAACUAUAACGGUCCUAAGGUAGCGAAAUUCCUUGUCGGGUAAGUUCCGACCUGCACGAAUGGCGUAAUGAUGGCCAGGCUGUCUCCACCCGAGACUCAGUGAAAUUGAACUCGCUGUGAAGAUGCAGUGUACCCGCGGCAAGACGGAAAGACCCCGUGAACCUUUACUAUAGCUUGACACUGAACAUUGAGCCUUGAUGUGUAGGAUAGGUGGGAGGCUUUGAAGUGUGGACGCCAGUCUGCAUGGAGCCGACCUUGAAAUACCACCCUUUAAUGUUUGAUGUUCUAACGUGGACCCGUGAUCCGGGUUGCGGACAGUGUCUGGUGGGUAGUUUGACUGGGGCGGUCUCCUCCUAAAGAGUAACGGAGGAGCACGAAGGUUGGCUAAUCCUGGUCGGACAUCAGGAGGUUAGUGCAAUGGCAUAAGCCAGCUUGACUGCGAGCGUGACGGCGCGAGCAGGUGCGAAAGCAGGUCAUAGUGAUCCGGUGGUUCUGAAUGGAAGGGCCAUCGCUCAACGGAUAAAAGGUACUCCGGGGAUAACAGGCUGAUACCGCCCAAGAGUUCAUAUCGACGGCGGUGUUUGGCACCUCGAUGUCGGCUCAUCACAUCCUGGGGCUGAAGUAGGUCCCAAGGGUAUGGCUGUUCGCCAUUUAAAGUGGUACGCGAGCUGGGUUUAGAACGUCGUGAGACAGUUCGGUCCCUAUCUGCCGUGGGCGCUGGAGAACUGAGGGGGGCUGCUCCUAGUACGAGAGGACCGGAGUGGACGCAUCACUGGUGUUCGGGUUGUCAUGCCAAUGGCACUGCCCGGUAGCUAAAUGCGGAAGAGAUAAGUGCUGAAAGCAUCUAAGCACGAAACUUGCCCCGAGAUGAGUUCUCCCUGACCCUUUAAGGGUCCUGAAGGAACGUUGAAGACGACGACGUUGAUAGGCCGGGUGUGUAAGCGCAGCGAUGCGUUGAGCUAACCGGUACUAAUGAACCGUGAGGCUUAACCUUACAACGCCGAAGGUGUUU
Molecule: ribosomal RNA, 2932 nt
Filed under: Escherichia coli O157:H7
Lineage: Bacteria; Pseudomonadati; Pseudomonadota; Gammaproteobacteria; Enterobacterales; Enterobacteriaceae
Description: 23S ribosomal RNA
Rfam family: Bacterial large subunit ribosomal RNA
Source: RNAcentral